This 154-nucleotide ribosomal RNA is filed under the name uncultured fungus. RNAcentral describes it as "partial 5.8S ribosomal RNA". It matches the Rfam family "5.8S ribosomal RNA". From Rfam's summary of the family: 5.8S ribosomal RNA (5.8S rRNA) is a component of the large subunit of the eukaryotic ribosome. It is transcribed by RNA polymerase I as part of the 45S precursor that also contains 18S and 28S rRNA. Functionally, it is thought that 5.8S rRNA may be involved in ribosome translocation. Lineage: Eukaryota; Fungi. The record is from RNAcentral.
AAGUUUCAACAACGGAUCUCUUGGCUCUCGCAUCGAUGAAGAACGCAGCGAAAUGCGAUAAGUAAUGUGAAUUGCCGAAUUCAGUGAAUCAUCGAAUCUUUGAACGCACCUUGGGCUCCUUGGUAUUCCUCGGAGCAUGCCUGUUUGAGUAUCC